GAUGAACGCUGGCGGCGUGCCUAAUACAUGCGAGUCGAGCGAACAGACGAGGAGCUUGCUCCUCUGACGUUAGCGGCGGACGGGUGAGUAACACGUGGAUAACCUACCUAUAAGACUGGGAUAACUUCGGGAAACCGGAGCUAAUACCGGAUAAUAUAUUGAACCGCAUGGUUCAAUAGUGAAAGACGGUUUUGCUGUCACUUAUAGAUGGAUCCGCGCCGCAUUAGCUAGUUGGUAAGGUAACGGCUUACCAAGGCAACGAUGCGUAGCCGACCUGAGAGGGUGAUCGGCCACACUGGAACUGAGACACGGUCCAGCCUCCUACGGGAGGCAGCAGUAGGGAAUCUUCCGCAAUGGGCGAAAGCCUGACGGAGCAACGCCGCGUGAGUGAUGAAGGUCUUCGGAUCGUAAAACUCUGUUAUUAGGGAAGAACAAAUGUGUAAGUAACUAUGCACGUCUUGACGGUACCUAAUCAGAAAGCCACGGCUAACUACGUG
This 497-nucleotide ribosomal RNA is filed under the name uncultured bacterium. RNAcentral's name for it is "partial 16S ribosomal RNA". It matches the Rfam family "Bacterial small subunit ribosomal RNA", at positions 28 to 507 of the family's 1533-position model. The record is from RNAcentral.